UUUUUUUUUUUUUCUUUUUUUCCAGAGAAGGGUGACUGUCUUGCAACUUUUAGUCAAAUGAGAGCAAUAUGAGAAAAAUGCGAUAUAUGUGCUGAUUUUAAUUUCUCAUUCAACACUCCAUUUUGAUUUGUCUUCUGAAGUGUUGACCAUGAUAUUUACACGUCAAUGUCAUGCUGAUUUCAUUUUACUAGUGUGGGAUACAUUUAUAAUUUUACUUUUCAUAGUGACAUGAACAAAAUCAUUGAUAAAUAUUAACCAAACACAUCCACCUCCAGGUUGGACAUAAACAGGAAAAUAUCUUCAAUCCCUCCUCUCCCCCAAAAUCCAAAUCAGUUAUCCACUGUACCAUCUGGUUGAUAGUGAAUGGUUUAUUCAAAAAUAGAUGAAAGAUAUGGGAGUGCAGACAUCUCUUCAACAUAUUGAUUUCUAUUCAUUUGGAUAUAUACCCAGAAGAAAGAUUGCUGGGAUUGUAUAGUAAUUCUACUUUUAGUUUUUUGAGGAGCUUUCAUACUGUCUCCUACAAAUGGUUAUCCCACUUGACAACUGCAACCACACUGUGUAAAGUGUUGCCUUUUCUCCACAGCCUCACUAAUACUUAUCUCUGUUUUUGUUGUUUUGAUAACAGCCAGUCUAUAAGUGUGAAGUGAUAUCUUACUGUGGUUUUAAUUUGCAUCUCCCUGAUGAUUAGUGACUCUGAGCAUGUUUUCAUAUGCUGUCGUCCGUUUGCAUGUCUUCUUUUGCAGCGUUAUUUACAACAGUCAAUAUAUGGAAUCAAUCUAAGUGUUCAUUGAUAGAUGAAUGAGUUUUAAAAACGUGGUACAUAUACACAGUGAAAUACUAUUCAGCCUUAAAAGAAACAUAAAUUCUGCUACUUGUGACAAUAUGGAUGAAUCUGGGGGGCAUUAUGCUAAGUGAAAUAAGCCAAGCACAGAAAAACAAAUACUGCAAGAUCUCAUUUAAAUGUGGAAUCUAAAAAAGUAAAACUUCUAGAAGUAGGCUGGACACAGUGGCUCACGCCUGUAAUCCCAGCACUUCGGGAGGCUGAGGCGAGCAGAUCACAAGGUCAGGAGAUUGAGACCACGGUGAAACCCUGUCUCUACUAAAAAUACAAAAAAUUAGCCGGGUACGGUGGCGGGUACCUGUAGUCCCAGCUACUCAGGAGGCUGAGGCAGGAGAAUGACGUGAACCUGAGAGGCAGAGCUUGCAGUGAGCCGAGAUUGCGCCACUGCACUCCAGCCUGGGCGACAGAGCCAGACUCCAUCUCAAAAAAGAAAAAAAAAAACUUCUAGAAGUAGGUUGUUACUAGAGACUGGGGGAAAGAGAAUGGGGAGAUGAUGGUCAUAUGGUACAAAAUUCCAGUUUAGGCAAUGGGAAUAAGCUUUUGAGAUCUAUCGCAUAAAAAGUAUGUGAGGCGAUGAAUAUGUUAAUUAGCUUGAUUUAAUAAUUCUACAAUGUGUACAUAUAUCAAAACAUCACAUCAAACCCCCAAAAUAUAUAAAAUAUUUUUUCAGUUAAGAAAAUAAAACAGAAGGCGGGUGCAGUGGCUUAUUCCUGUAAUCCCAGCACUUUGGGAGGCCAAGGCAGGCGGAUCACCUGAGGUCAGGAAUUCAAGACCAGCCUGGCCAACAUGGCAAAACCCCAUCUCUGCUGAAAAUACAAAAAUUAGCCGAGUGUGGUGGCAGGUACCUGUAAUCCCAGCUACUCAGGAGACUGAGGCAGGAGAAUUGCUUGAACCCAGGAGGUGGAGGUUGCAGUGAGCCGAGGUCACGCCAUUGCACUCCAGCCUGGGCGACAGAGUGAGACUCCAUCAAAAAAAAAAAAAAAAAAGGAACCAAAAUGAAAGAUAUGGAACAAUGUGAAAAAUCUGGAUAUUGUUAUUUACCUUAUCAGUGCUUAAAACUGUCUAAUAACAAUUUUACAGAAUGAGACAUCUAACCAGGAUAAGAAGUAUGCAAAUAAAGGUGUUAUAAUGUGAAAGAGUAAUCUUAUUAGGGAUUCUCAUUGGUAGUGGUUUUAGAAACCAGAGUAGAGAAGAACAACUAUAGUUUGAUUUCAAAACACAAUGAUUCCAUGUUUAUUUUUAAUAAACAUAACUAAUUAAUUGCUGCAUGUAUGCGGGACUAAAAUAAGGUGUCAGUACCUCAUGCAAGAGCUUCAGAUGGCUUCACUGCUACAGCUUGCCUGUUUAUGUGGUUAGAAAUUGUUGUUCAGUGGUUUCAGUGGUGAGCAGUUCAUGAGCUUCUGAAAUGGUCCAAGAAUAGUGGCAAAUAGGUCCCUUCUUGUUGGUCAAGCGCUCAGGCAAUUUUUUAAAGGAUUGCUAAAGUAGUUCUGAAGCCCCUUGCCAUUUAGGGGGAUUUAGAAAAAAAGUCUACGUCAUAGAACUCUAUGUCCUAUGAUUUUGUUGUUGAAACUGGAACAUAAAAGAAAAGAGAGAGAGAAGAAGACAAGCAAAUGCCUAAACAGAGCUCAGGGAACAGCUUCAGGACAGGGAACUGGAGAUUAGUAAUCAAAUCAGUCCCUACCCACCAGGCUCAAGGCCUCACAAACUACGAUUUGUGACCAAUACACUCAUUCGCUCAAUUUCAGUCAGUGUCUGGGGUAUCAAGCUCUAGAAACCAGAAAUAAAGCCAGAAACAAAGGAAAAAGUUCUCAUUUCCAAUAAACUCAGUUACUGUUAAAACUUUAAGGACCGGCACAGUGGCUCACGCCUGUAAUCCCAGCACUUUGAGAGGCCAAGGCGGGUGGAU
Macaca fascicularis (crab-eating macaque) is the source of this 2747-nucleotide long non-coding RNA. The record is from Ensembl. NCBI's taxonomy places the organism in Eukaryota, Metazoa, Chordata, Mammalia, Primates, Cercopithecidae.